AAGUUGAGAGGAGCAAGGAGGAGGGUGGGGGGCGGGGGGCAGAGAGAGAGAGAGAGAGAUGGUUUAGGAGAGCAGGAGCCAGAGUAGCUUCUGUACAGAAUUGGCAAAUUGCAAAUCAGGGAGUUGAUCAACAGUUGGAAGGGACAUCGAGAACCAAAAUCUAAUAAACACCAUUUAAAUAUCUUUCAACAUAUCAGAGCCAAAGGCAACCAGUUCAAAGUUUAAAUCCUGCUAAAAGAUAAAAAUGACAGAAAAAAUUCAGAAUACUGAAGCAUCUCCCUAACUAGAAAACUUCCAUAUUGUCAAAAAGGAGGUGAUAAGUGAUCAAGGACCAUAAUAUGGACAUACUUGAUCUGACCAGAAGAAUCUUUGUUAAGGACAUAAAAUCAUUUUUGAGAUUAAAACAACUGAUAUAUUUAGAAGUGCACCCUUAAUGCACCUCUUUUUAAUAUUUUUUUCACCAAGAAAAUAAAUUCGAACAACUUAAUUCCCUCAUCAUUAAUCCAGAUUAGAACAUGAUGAUGACAUAAUGAGGGAGAUUCUAUCUGAAUUGUUUACUCUUUCAUCAGAAAGAGUGAGCAAAAAAGACUAAACUCUCCAAUGAUACAUCUUCUUGAUAUGCUAAUCCAUUUGACA
Molecule: long non-coding RNA, 636 nt
Filed under: Phoenix dactylifera (date palm)
Lineage: Eukaryota; Viridiplantae; Streptophyta; Magnoliopsida; Arecales; Arecaceae
Description: long non-coding RNA (PDAC_LNC005560)
Source: RNAcentral